GGAUGGGUGGCUGAGCGGUUGAAAGCACCGGUCUUGAAAACCGGCGUGGGUUCAUCCCCACCGUGGGUUCGAAUCCCACCCCAUCCGCCA
RNAcentral lists this transfer RNA (90 nucleotides) under Geminicoccaceae bacterium. Its description in RNAcentral is "tRNA-Ser". It matches the Rfam family "tRNA". Rfam says of the family: Transfer RNA (tRNA) molecules are approximately 80 nucleotides in length. Their secondary structure includes four short double-helical elements and three loops (D, anti-codon, and T loops). Further hydrogen bonds mediate the characteristic L-shaped molecular structure. tRNAs have two regions of fundamental functional importance: the anti-codon, which is responsible for specific mRNA codon recognition, and the 3' end, to which the tRNAs corresponding amino acid is attached (by aminoacyl-tRNA synthetases). tRNAs cope with the degeneracy of the genetic code in two manners: having more than one tRNA (with a specific anti-codon) for a particular amino acid; and 'wobble' base-pairing, i.e. permitting non-standard base-pairing at the 3rd anti-codon position. The record is from RNAcentral. Lineage: Bacteria; Pseudomonadati; Pseudomonadota; Alphaproteobacteria; Geminicoccales; Geminicoccaceae.